This is a non-coding RNA of Microcebus murinus (gray mouse lemur), 2002 nucleotides long. Lineage: Eukaryota; Metazoa; Chordata; Mammalia; Primates; Cheirogaleidae. The record is from RefSeq and is a predicted model, not a curated record.
AAGUAUACACCUUUUUAGAAACUGCAGUAGCCACUGAAGAACCUAUUUCUAGAGUAGCUGCUUAAGAAUUGAUUUCUGAUUUUUGUAAUUUUUCCACAUGUGUUUUUUAAGUUAAGUAGGUUUCUACUUGAUACUUUUCCAAAGAAUUUAGGUUUUAAUAAGAGUACAGAGAGCCAUACCCCUAAAGAUUUUUAAUUUCGAUGGAGCCUUUUUAAUGAGUCACUAUCUAAUUUAUCUUCAGAUUGUGAAAUAUACUUGUUCUAAAGAAAACUGGAAGUCUAAAAAUUGGGACAAUGGGUGCAUACUCUUCUAUUACCAGAAGUUAGAAAAACAAUGAUUUUUUUUUUUUCCUGAACCCAACUGUUUAUACUUCAGCCAAUCAAUACUACUUCAAUUUUUAUAAUCAUGGUCUUUAGUUUUACUGAUUCAUUUAUUAUUUGACUGAGGAUAUUUGAGAUCUACUACAUGUUUGCUCUAGAAAUUUGUUUUUAUAUUUUGCUUUAAUUCCUAUAGGAAUCCACAAUAAUAAGUUUACUGGGAAUUACAAAGGAUUUGAAUGGGGAUUAAAAAGAAUUCAUAUCCAAAGGAAGUGAUUCUUUUACUAUCAAUGCCCUCACCUGUCAUCCUCUCUGUCACCACAGCUGGCUUGGCUGGCAGCACCCUGAAGGGAUCCUACAGAUGACAGCACCAAGAAAAGUAGACUUUUCUUCUUUCUUUGCAAUUCUUUGGGACAGACCAGUCUUAACAGGGUGGUGAUGGCCGUCACAGGAGCAAGGAGUACACUUAACGUUAAGGAAUGUGGUGAGGGUGACUUCCCUUUUUUUUUUUUUUUUUUUUUUUUACUAUAAUAAUGGACUUUUGUCUUUAGAGAUGGCCUCCUGUGACAUCAGGUUAAAAUGAGGAUCUCUCUGGAAUCAGCGAAUGCAAAAUACUAACAAUCAUUUAUUUCUUAGUGUGAAUACGCUGAUGAUAUCCUUGUGGGUUUAGACAACACGAGGUCGCCUCAAGUGGGAUUGUUCCUCGUAUCCUGGGAAGGAAAAUCAAGAAUCUGAGCAGAUCAAACUGAGAACCUGAGAUGGACCAUACAAUCUACCGGGUGGACUUCCCAAACAGGUCUCCUCACUGCUAGUUAAUCUUGGUACUGAUUCUUGGUACCAGGGGCACAUUUCUACAUGAAAGACCCUGAAUAAAUAUUGGUGACAUUCUCUUAGAUUUCUUUUUCAGGUCUUUGAAUGGUUCCUGAUUGGGCUAAAUUGUAUGGCAUUACCUUCUGGGCUUCUUUAAGCCAUUGAGACAGCUGCUCUCCAUUGCUUAAGAAUUACUGGAGCAAAAUCAGCGUUUUGGUUGAGUUAUGAAGACAUACACAGAAAUAGUAAAUAGUAGCCCUGGGAUAGGACAGCUGAUCUUCUGAUGUUUGUCAACAACAACAGAUGCCUGAGUAAGCUGUCCAGGUAAUCUUCACUUCAAAGGGUCAGAGGAAGAAGGAACUGGCAGGAGUCGUUUUCAUCAGCCUGUGAUGUGGGCACACCAGCUGGAGAACUGGUGGCAUGUGCCAUUGUUGAUCCUCCAGAGCCAUGAUGUACAGAUUGGCUUAAAGACUGUCAUUUUCACACCAGGUGAGAUGCUUCCAUCCCCUCGCUGUGACCAUGAGAUGGGUACUUUUAGAGCCUGUUUUGAAUGCCCUGAUGGUUUAUCCACUGUGAGCAGGCUUCAGAAAUGAGGAACAGGGGAUGGAUAAAAAACUUUAGUAUCAUGUGCCCCUCUACGUAAACACUCCCCUUUCUGACCUAUACAUCUAAGGUCAAAGUAGACUCCAUUAUUCAGCUGGCUCUGAGCUCAUGCCUCAAAUUCCAACUUUUACAAUUAGUCUUGGAUUUAAAAAUGCAAAAAAAUGCCCUAAGCAUCAAAAUGGAAUGAUCAUUUCUAGGACAACAGAAUUUAAAGGAUCAGAUAUGUCCAAACUGUAAUGUUUGCAAAUAAAACAUCCACUAAAUGCAAUAUA